AUCAUCACCGGUGGAGAAGGAAAAGAAAAAGAAAAAGACAAAAACAACACCAAAAAAAACACAACCAAAAAAGAAAAAAGUUGUUGUGGAGGAUUCACCUCCUGAAGAAGAUCAAUACUUUGAUGGUGAGAGAUAUGAAAUAUCAAGUGACGAACUAGAUGAAUGGCUAAGGGAAAACGUUGAUAAAUCUGCUGCAGAGGGGGAGAACCAAGCUGACCUGCAAUCGACAGAAGGUCGCUAUGUGUCCUCUGAAACAAUACCGGCUGUGAACUUGGGAAGUGAUGAUCCUUCCUCUCAAGGACGC
Molecule: non-coding RNA, 304 nt
Organism: Arachis ipaensis
Lineage: Eukaryota; Viridiplantae; Streptophyta; Magnoliopsida; Fabales; Fabaceae
Source: RefSeq, a predicted model, not a curated record